CCAAGCAUACAUCUGCCCAUGGUUCCUCGCGUGCCGUAGACUCGCGGUGACACAAACGGAGCACCCCCUCUGCCUCUCUCUCCUCACGCCCCACCACCUCGGCGGCUUCUCUUCUUCCUUAACCCCCUUCCCCCACCCCACCUCUCGCUCUCCUUCUGCAAAGACCGCGAAGACGUGUGAAGCCCUGCCCCUGUGCGUGCGCGGCUGUGCGUGCCGCUAUCCAUUCUGCACGACUCCCGUCACGUAGCGCGUGCGUCCGAUAUUUUUCAUCGCGGUUCAUCUCCGUAAACCCAAGCUAACGGGACGUUCCCCCCUCCCUUACCCGCAAAUCGACAUAAGCAGCGCCUGUGCGUGUGCGUGGGCGUCUGUGUCUGUGUGCACUGACGAUAACUACUCUCACACGGACGCAUACACGAGUCGGCAAGGUGCGUGCACCAUCGACCUUCGCGUCAAGGGCACAAGCGACAACGGCUGUUGAGUUGUGGUAGAAUGCCUUCUUCUUCCGUUCAAGACACGUUCGCCUCAGCGCUCGACGGCGAGGGGGCACACGUGGCGCGUCGUGCACGCUCCUCAUCCUCCACGUCUUCCUCUGCGAGAAGCCGCAGUAGCAAACGUGCCAGGAACAGCGGCAUGCGCCGUGCGUCGUCUCCGCCGGCAACCCCCACCAUCGCCGGCGCCACCUCAUCAGCGCUCACAAUAAACGUGAAGAAGAAGAGGAGACACAAGAAGGCACGGCAGGACGAGGAUGCGGCGAGGGAGGCGGCGAGGCUGCCGCCGCAGUUACCGCAACUGUGCCAGCCCCACCUGCUGCACGGCGCCCCUGCCGCGCCAAGUCUUCUGCAGCAGCGAUUCUCUGAGGUGGAACUGCAGUUCCAGCUCGAGCAAGACCGCGCUCAGCGCUCUGCGCUUGCCCCACGCGACAUCGCCAACCUCAUUCUCUGGAGCGUGCCGGCGCCAGUCCCGAUCAUCGAGUCGCCGCGCAUUUUCUUUAUUAAAAACAAGUCGAAGGUGCGCAACACCGUUGUCAUUUAUGUGAAUGGCUGGUCGUAUGACGAGAUGCUCUGCACCGGCGUUGGCCUUCCGCGAGCGCGCGGUGAGGUAGAGCGCGGGGGCGCUCCUCGAGAGCAAGCCGCGCCGUCGCACUCGACGGACGCGAUGGGCAACGCCACCGGUCACGCUGCGGCGAGCGCCGCGCCGGCAGCGAACGCGGCGGGCGAUGGCGAUGGCCCGGCGGCGCACUGGAACACGGCGCUUUGCAGCGCCAUGUUGGGCCCGGUGCGAGAGGGCCGCUGCUGGGCGCGUCCAGGUCGUGGAACGGGCGGUGCUGGCGGUGUGCAGUACUGCCCUCUCUCGAUCCCGAGCACCCGCAACGAGCUGGAAAAGGACCUGUGGUGGCGCAACGACGCGCCGCGCCGACCGGGGCCCUCUUCGGCCGCCUCGUCCUCAGCGUUGAAUCGCUGGCGCCCAAACCGCAGCUGCGGGGGUGAGGACGGGGACAGGGGCGUGGCGGAUCUCCACCUCACGAGUCCUGCCGUCAAGGGUGCCCGUGGCGUCGGCAGCAUGUUCCAGCAGGCAAUGCAGGUACACGCAACGGGCUCGGGUGCCGGCGACGGCGCAGCCUCCGCGGAGAGAUCGCCAAAGGCCGCGUCGGCACCGGCAGCGGACUCGCCCAUCAUCGCAUCGGACGCCUUCCAGCAGCAUCAGCACCUCUGGCAGAAUCGGACCCUUCUUCAGCGGUACGCCUUGCACCUCCCGGAGCACACGGUCGAGAUGCAGGAGUUGGGCUUCACUGUUUCGCCUCCGCAAGAGUCGACGGCCGCCGUGCGCGCAGAUGGCGGCAGCGCGGAGGAAGACGACAAGGAAACGGCUCUGCCGAAGGGAAACGAGGAGAGAGGGGAGCAGGAUGUCUGGGUGAGCUUCGCAGCGCCUUCCACGACGGCAACGGCAGACGGCACCGCAUCGGCAACGCCAUCGGUGAAGGUUGUCGCGCUUGACUGCGAGAUGGUGGAGGUCGAGGGCGGUGAGAGUGCGCUAGCUCGAGCGACGCUGAUCGAUGUGCUGACCGGCAACGUUGUGCUGGACCUGCUCGUCAAGCCACGUCAACGCAUUACAGACUACCGGACUCGCUUCAGCGGCAUUGACGCGGCGACGCUCGCGCCCGUGUCUACCACCCUCGCGGACUGUCAGCACGCACUACAGCGCAUUGUCGACUCACAGACCUUCGUGGUCGGUCACAGCCUUGAGAACGACUUCAAGGCAUGCAAAUGCAUCCCUAACUGCUACGUGCUCGACACAACGUGGUUGUUCCCGCAUCCGGCGGGACUGCCCUACAAGAACGCCUUACGCUUUCUCGCCCAGCGUUACCUUCAGCGGCGCAUACAGCACGGCUCGCACGACAGUGCCAUUGAUGCCUUGGUAAGCGCUGAGUUGACGCAGCUGAAGCUCAUCAACGGCCCGUCUUUCGGCAUGCGAGCGCGGGUGAGCGUCUUGGGCCUCAUCACCGAAGCGGCUGGCAGCGCCGCCGAUGGUGUGCGCGCGGGGGAGGGGCCAGAAAAGACGACAGAGGCGGGAUUCGAUGUUCAGCUUCAUCUAUUCGACGAUGCCGUGACGCUGGCCUCCCUCCUCCCCGCCCCGCAGAAGUACGACGCCGCCUCUGCGACUCAGGCCGGGGCGAGCGGUGGCACGGUGUCAGGUGCGCCUCGAUCGUCCUCAGCAAGCUCAGCUCGUAUUGAUGCCGUCCCCGUGCGCCAUGACGAGGACGGGAUGCGCAAAGCCGUCCGUGCGCUGCAGCGCCGCGCGAGUCAGCAGGCCCGUGAAGCCGCAGUCGCUGCCAACGACACGGAUGGCGAGACGGCCACGACACAGAGGCCGAACUUCUCUCUGUUCUGGGUUCAGCUGGCCCAGGCGAAGGUGGAUGUCGUUCUGCCGCCCGCACAGCCACCCACGGCCUCUGCUGCGGUGGCAGCGGAAGAGGAGAGCGAGACCGCCGAGAGAGCGGCGUACGCUGGGCACGGCGGCAGCCGUGACACGGGCUCUGCGCACACGGUAGCGCAGUUCCGCAGGGUGCAUGACACGAACCGACGUGUGCUGCGCAUCAUCGAAGCCUGCCCGGAUGAGACACUCAUCGUCGUGCUGACGGGCCGCUGCGAUGGGGAGGCCGGAGGAAACCACUUCUCGCGAGCGCAGGGCACAUGCUUUGCAUUCGUGAAGGACAGCAGUGCACCUGGUCCGCGCCCGGAGGAGCUGACCAAGCUGACCGACGGGAGCAGCGUGAGCGCGCUGGCGACGGCUGCGGUGCCGCAUUCUCUUGAUAGGGAGGCUGCCAUGGUGGUGCACACACCUCUCGCCUGCCAGCAGCAGUAAGCCGCCGCCUUCUGAGGAAGACCAGCGUUUCGUGCGCGUGUGCGUGUGAGGGGGCAUCCGAAGCGCUCUGUGGAGCGUAUCCCCCUGUCUCGCUCCCCCCGUGUCCGCCACCCUCUCUUUUUGUUUUCUACCUCGUGAGGCGUGCGACGGCUUAUCUUCUCCCUCAGCGAGGUGGUGAGGGCGCACGUCUGCACCCGAGAACAUACUCAU
RNAcentral lists this unclassified non-coding RNA (3573 nucleotides) under Leishmania donovani. RNAcentral describes it as "gene:LdHU3.10.0420(CDS-product:Exonuclease_putati ve)". The record is from RNAcentral. Lineage: Eukaryota; Euglenozoa; Kinetoplastea; Trypanosomatida; Trypanosomatidae.